Molecule: unclassified non-coding RNA, 230 nt
Filed under: Hevea brasiliensis (rubber tree)
Lineage: Eukaryota; Viridiplantae; Streptophyta; Magnoliopsida; Malpighiales; Euphorbiaceae
Source: RNAcentral
GUAAGUGGGGUUUGUUCAAGAAUCUUGAAUGGGUCUUCUUGUGGGAACAUUAAGUCGAAUAACGGGCGUGUGUAUGGCAUUAAAGCUUGGGUUUUUGAUGGAAGAAUGGCUAGAAUUGUUGUUGCUAAGACAAGAAAACUCAUAACAUGAGCUUUUGCUUUUGCCAUCUUUUUUGAUUUGAUGAUAAUGUGAAGAGCUUAGGAAUGUGAGAGUAUUGUAGAGGAUUUUUG